UGCCCGAUAGAACAUUAUAUCUGGAAUGGUUUAUGUUCCAAAUGAUUUAUCGCCGUAGGAUGGGACUGCGGCCUAUCAGUUUGUUGGUGAGGUAAUGGCCCACCAAGACUAUUACAGGUACGGGCUCUGAGAGGAGUAGCCCGGAGAUGGGUACUGAGACACGGACCCAGGCCCUAUGGGGCGCAGCAGGCGAGAAAACUUUGCAAUGUGCGAAAGCACGACAAGGUUAAUCCGAGUGGUUUGUGCUAAACGAACCUUUUGUCAGUCCUAGAAACACUAACGAAUAAGGGGUGGGCAAGUUCUGGUGUCAGCCGCCGCGGUAAAACCAGCACCUCAAGUGGUCAGGAUGAUUAUUGGGCCUAAAGCAUCCGUAGCCGGCUCUGUAAGUUUUCGGUUAAAUCUGUACGCUCAACGUACAGGCUGCCGGGAAUACUGCAGAGCUAGGGAGUGGGAGAGGUAGACGGUACUCGAUAGGAAGGGGUAAAAUCCUUUGAUCUAUUGAUGACCACCUGUGGCGAAGGCGGUCUACCAGAACACGUCCGACGGUGAGGGAUGAAAGCUGGGGGAGCAAACCGGAUUAGAUACCCGGGUAGUCCCAGCUGUAAACUAUGCAAACUCAGUGAUGCAUUGGCUUGUGGCCAAUGCAGUGCUGCAGGGAAGCCGUUAAGUUUGCCGCCUGGGAAGUACGUACGCAAGUAUG
RNAcentral lists this ribosomal RNA (700 nucleotides) under uncultured archaeon. RNAcentral describes it as "bacterial SSU rRNA". It matches the Rfam family "Archaeal small subunit ribosomal RNA", at positions 150 to 851 of the family's 1478-position model. The record is from RNAcentral.